AUUGAACGCUGGCGGCAGGCCUAACACAUGCAAGUCGAGCGGAGCGGCGGACGGGUGAGUAAUACGUGAGUAACUUGCCCUCCUUUUUGGGAUAAGCCUUGGAAACGGGGUCUAAUACCGGAUAGUGGGGGAUGGGCCCGCGGCCUAUCAGCUUGUUGGUGGGGUAAUGGCCUACCAAGGCGGCGACGGGUAGCCGGCCUGAGAGGGUGGACGGCCACAUUGGGACUGAGACACGGCCCAGACUCCUACGGGAGGCAGCAGUGGGGAGUAUUGCACAAUGGGCGGAAGCCUGAUGCAGCGACGCCGCGUGGGGGAUGACGGCCUUCGGGUUGUAAACUCCUUUCACCAUCGACGCGGUAGAUGGAGAAGAAGCACCGGCUAACUACGUGCCAGCAGCCGCGGUAAUUC
Molecule: ribosomal RNA, 408 nt
Filed under: uncultured bacterium
Lineage: Bacteria
Description: partial 16S ribosomal RNA
Rfam family: Bacterial small subunit ribosomal RNA
Source: RNAcentral